GACGAACGCUGGCGGCGUGCUUAACACAUGCAAGUCGAACGGUGAAGCUCCAGCUUGCUGGAGUGGAUCAGUGGCGAACGGGUGAGUAACACGUGAGCAACCUGCCCCUGACUCUGGAAUAAGCGCUGGAAACGGCGUCUAAUACUGGAUACGAGAAGGGUCCGCAUGGGCACUUUCUGGAAAGUUUUUCGGUUGGGGAUGGGCUCGCGGCCUAUCAGCUUGUUGGUGAGGUAAUGGCUCACCAAGGCGACGACGGGUAGCCGGCCUGAGAGGGCGACCGGCCACACUGGGACGGAGACACGGCCCAGACUCCUACGGGGGCAGCAGUGGGGAAUAUUGCACAAUGGGCGAAAGCCUGAUGCAGCGACGCCGCGUGAGGGAUGACGGCCUUCGGGUUGUAAACCUCUGUCAGCAGGGAAGAAGCGAAAGUGACGGUACCUGCAGAAGAAGCACCGGCUAACUACGUG
RNAcentral lists this ribosomal RNA (467 nucleotides) under uncultured bacterium. RNAcentral's name for it is "partial 16S ribosomal RNA". It matches the Rfam family "Bacterial small subunit ribosomal RNA", at positions 28 to 507 of the family's 1533-position model. The record is from RNAcentral.